CCCUACGGGGCGCAGCAGGCGCGAAAACUUUACAAUGCGGGAAACCGUGAUAAGGGAACUCCGAGUGCCCGUAAAAUCGGGCUGUCCAUCUGUUUAAAUAACAGGUGAAGAAAGGGCCGGGCAAGACCGGUGCCAGCCGCCGCGGUAAUACCGGCGGCUCGAGUGGUGGCCACUAUUACUGGGCUUAAAGCGUUCGUAGCUGGUCUGUUAAGUCUCUGGGGAAAUCUGCCGGCUUAACCGGCAGGCGUCUCAGGGAUACUGGCAGACUAGGGACCGGGAGAGGUGAGAGGUACUCCAGGGGUAGGAGUGAAAUCCUGUAAUCC
Molecule: ribosomal RNA, 323 nt
Filed under: uncultured archaeon
Lineage: Archaea
Description: bacterial SSU rRNA
Rfam family: Archaeal small subunit ribosomal RNA
Source: RNAcentral